AAUAUUGGACAAUGGGGGCAACCCUGAUCCAGCCAUGCCGCGUGUGUGAAGAAGGUCUUCGGAUUGUAAAGCACUUUAAGUUGGGAGGAAGGGCUUUAGGUUAAUACCCUGAAGUUUUGACGUUACCAACAGAAUAAGCACCGGCUAACUCUGUGCCAGCAGCCGCAGUAAUACAGAGGGUGCACGCGGUAAUCGGAAUUACUGGGCGUAAAGCGCGCGUAGGGGGGUCAGUAAGAUGGGUGUGAAAUCCCCGGGCUUAACCUGGGAAAUGCUUUCAUAACUGCCGAGCUAGAGUACGGGAGAGGGGAGGGGAAUUUCCUGUGUAGCGGUGAAAUGCGUAGAUAUAGGAAGGAACACCAGUGGCGAAGGCGACUACCUGGACUGAUACUGACACUGAGGUGCGAAAGCGUGGGGAGCAAACA
Molecule: ribosomal RNA, 422 nt
Filed under: uncultured bacterium
Lineage: Bacteria
Description: partial 16S ribosomal RNA
Rfam family: Bacterial small subunit ribosomal RNA
Source: RNAcentral